This 209-nucleotide unclassified non-coding RNA is filed under the name uncultured fungus. Its description in RNAcentral is "sequence contains ITS1". Lineage: Eukaryota; Fungi. The record is from RNAcentral.
UUAGUUUAUUUAACUAUUUUCAGAUAUAACAUGGUUAAAAAGUAUUUGUGGUAGGCUACUGACGGGCACUGGCCAGGGGUUUAAAACCCCCGACGGUCCGGUUAAAGACGGGCCCGCCAAAGCAACAUGGUAGUUAAACAAAGGGUUGGAGGUCGGGCCUGGAGGACCCUAACUCAUUAAUGAUCCUUCCGCAGGUUCACCUACGGAAA